AGCAGUCGCCGCGGUAAUACGAAGGGAGCUAGCGUUGUUCGGAUUUACUGGGCGUAAAGGGCGCGUAGGCGGGCGAAUAAGUCAGGGGUGAAAUCCCAAGGCUCAACCUUGGAACUGCCUUUGAUACUGUUUGUCUUGAGUUCGAGAGAGGUAAGUGGAACUGCGAGUGUAGAGGUGAAAUUCGUAGAUAUUCGCAAGAACACCAGUGGCGAAGGCGGCUUACUGGCUCGAAACUGACGCUGAGGCGCGAAAGCGUGGGGAGCAAACAGGAUUAGAUACCCCCGUAGUCCCUGUCUCUUAUAC
This 303-nucleotide ribosomal RNA is filed under the name uncultured bacterium. Its description in RNAcentral is "partial 16S ribosomal RNA". It matches the Rfam family "Bacterial small subunit ribosomal RNA", at positions 507 to 807 of the family's 1533-position model. The record is from RNAcentral.